This 2345-nucleotide ribosomal RNA is filed under the name Triticum aestivum (bread wheat). RNAcentral describes it as "partial small subunit ribosomal RNA". Lineage: Eukaryota; Viridiplantae; Streptophyta; Magnoliopsida; Poales; Poaceae. The record is from RNAcentral.
AAAAACUUCCUCUUCCGCUCGCCGCCGCGGCUCCCCCUCCGCGCGCCGCCGGUACGACCGCCCCUGCGGCGCCCCACCUCCCCUCCCGCGUCGCGUUCAUCUCUCCUCACCCGCCUAGGUUACUCCUCGGUCGAGCGGCCCCGCCCCCACGUCGCUCCCUCAACUGCUUCCCUCUCCCAUCUGCUGGUUUCCCGGCAUGCUUUAGCGCCACUCACUGGCCGCCGCCGUCCUUGCGUCACGGGUGCAGAUUUGGUUGCAAUCUACUUAUGUUUCCUGAUAUUCGAUCUGGAUUUCCAACAGAUCAGAACUGCCUGAGAAGAAGCAGCAGAAAAAUAAAAGUGAAGUAUCAUCACCUGGUCGUAAGAGAGCCAUGAAAGAUAAAUUGACAGAACGGACUGACAAGAAGCUUACUCACAGAAUUCGUCAAAAAAGAACAAAAGUUUCAGAAGUCAAAACUUUACUGGAAAAACCUGAUCAUGAGAUAGCACACAUGAAGCUAAGUGUGAUGCAUCUCAGAUUGUUACAAGAGGCCAGAGAGCGUAUUAAGAGUAAAACAAUUCUGUCAGGACCAUCAUCCUCUAAUCAAAGCAACUCCCAGUUUGGAGAUACCAACAGUUUUGAUCCUUUUGAAGAGAACUAUGAAGAGAACUAUGACAAUGACAGAAGAGAGAACCACGUGCUAGAAAAUGCAACCAAACUGAAUUACCAUUCCUACAUGAACAAACAAACACGGGCCAAAUGGUCGAAAUCUGACACUGACUUAUUUUACCAGGGUCUUCAACAAUUUGGUAGUGAUUUUGCAAUGAUACAGCAACUAUUCCCAGAUAAGUCCCGUGAUCAGGUGCGGCAGAAGUUUAAAACUGAGGAGAAAAAACAUCCAAUGCAAGUCCACGAUGCUAUACUUCAUCGCUCAAGAGAUACUUUGUAUUUAAAACAAGUAAUCAAACAGCUCAACAUCGAAGAUCUGCAGAGGGGCAUGAGCAGUACACAUAAACAAGAGGUUGCAUCAAUUGAAGGAGACACUGGAAAUGAGCAUGUGUUGCAGGAUUUCAUCGAGGAGGUAGAGAAUGGUUCAAAUUGGUCAGAUAAAGAGCUGGGCACGCGCCAAUCUGAGGUCAGAGAGGGGGAGCAUGUUUCUGGGAAUGCUGAUGAUGACCUGGAUCUGGAUGUUUUUGAUUGGUACUAGGACGAUAAUCAUGAUGAAAAUCAGGCAAAAACGUUACGAGGUCUCGUUAUUCUGCCGAUGUACUAAGGACAUGUGUCCUGUCUCAGAUAUGUUUGCUCACGGGGUUACCGAGUUAUGGAUGCAAAUAUAAUAGUACAGUUGUUAGGCCGAAUACAAGCUUAUUUUGCUUUUGCCUUUACAAUGUACUGAACAGAGCGUCAGGGUAGCUGACUGAUUUGCAAAAUAGCCAGUCAUUGACAAUGCAGACUGAUUUGCAAGCUAUUUUUAUCAUGGAGAUGCUUUACUGAUUCAAAUAGGUCAUUUGAACUUGGCAUUGCUGCUGCAGUUGUUUGUUCUAGCAUAUAAAUUUGUAUUCUUAUAUUUAAUGGGCUGAUAUACUGCUUCAAUCACAUUUUCUACUGAUUUUUCACAUGUCCUGUUCUUUGUUGAUAUCUUUUCACAUCAGCUCCCAAUUUGGAGGUACCGACACUUUUGAUCCUUUUGGAGAGAACUAUGACAAUGACAGAAUAGAGAACCACGUGCUAGAAAACGCAACCAAACUGAAUUACUAUUCCUACAUGAACAAACAAACACGGGCCAAAUGGUCGAAAUCUGACACUGACUUGUUUUACCAGGGUCUUCAACAAUUUGGUAGCAAUUUUGCAAUGAUACAGCAACUAUUCCCUGAUAAGUCCCGUGAUCAGGUGCGGCAAAAGUUUAAAACUGAGGAGAAAAAACAUCCAAUGCAAGUCCACGAUGCUAUACUUCAUCGCUCAAGAGAUACUUUGUAUUUGAAACAAGUAAUCAAACAGCUCAACAUCGAAGAUCUGCAGAGGGGCAUGAACAGUGCACAGAAACAAGAGGUUGGAUCAAUUGAAGGAGACACUGGAAAUGAGGUUUCUUUUUUCCUUUCUGAAACUAACACACACAGUGUUUAAUACUGAAUCUAUUUCAUUGGCAUUCUUUCUCUAUUCUUCUGUAAGCAUGUUUUGCAGGAUUUCAUCGAGGAGGAAGAGAAUGGUUCAAAUUGGUCAGAUAAAGAGCUGGGCACACGCCAAUCUGAGGCUAGAGAAGGGGAGCAUGUUUCUGGGAAUGCUGAUGAUGACCUGGAUCUGGAUGUUUUUGACUGGUACUAGGAUGAUAAUCAUGAUGAAAAUCAGGCAAAAACGAUACGGGUCUC